GCGCACGCUGGCGGCAGGCCUAACACCUGCAAGUCGAACGAACCUUUCGGGGUUAGUGGCGGACGGGUGAGUAACACGUGGGAACGUGCCUUUAGGUUCGGAAUAACUCAGGGAAACUUGUGCUAAUACCGAAUGUGCCCUUCGGGGGAAAGAUUAAUCGCCUUUAGAGCGGCCCGCGUCUGAUUAGCUAGUUGGUUGAGGUAAUGGCUCACCAAGGCGACGAUCAGUAGCUGGUCUGAGAGGAUGAUCAGCCACAUUGGGACUGAGACACGGCCCAAACUCCUACGGGAGGCAGCAGUGGGGAAUCUUGCGCAAUGGGCGAAAGCCUGACGCAGCCAUGCCGCGUGAAUGAUGAAGGUCUUAGGAUUGUAAAAUUCUUUCACCGGGGACGAUAAUGACGGUACCCGGAGAAGAAGCCCCGGCUAACUUCGUG
This 433-nucleotide ribosomal RNA is filed under the name uncultured bacterium. RNAcentral describes it as "partial 16S ribosomal RNA". It matches the Rfam family "Bacterial small subunit ribosomal RNA", at positions 29 to 507 of the family's 1533-position model. The record is from RNAcentral.